Molecule: ribosomal RNA, 347 nt
Filed under: uncultured bacterium
Lineage: Bacteria
Description: bacterial SSU rRNA
Rfam family: Bacterial small subunit ribosomal RNA
Source: RNAcentral
GCCUAGGAAUCUGCCUGGUAGUGGGGGUUAACGUUCGGAACGGACGCUAAUACCGCAUACUUCCUACGGGAGAAACAGGGGACCUUCGGGCCUUGCGCUAUCAGAUGAUCCUAGGUUGGAUUAUCUAGUUGGUGAGGUAAUGGCUCACCAAGGCGAAGAUCCGUAACUGGUCUUAAAGGAUGAUCAGUCACACUGGAACUGAGACACGGUCCAAACUCCUACGGGAGGCAGCAGUGGGGAAUAUUGGAAAUGGGCGAAAGCCUGAUCCAGCCAUGCCCCGUGUGUGAAGAAGGUCUUCGGAUUGUAAAGCACUUUAGUUGGGAGGAAGGGCAUUAAAUUAAUACUUU